UACAGAGGUCCCAAGCGUUGUUCGGAUUUACUGGGCGUAAAGGGCGCGUAGGCGGCGUGUUAAGUCACUUGUGAAAUCUCUGAGCUUAACUCAGAACGGUCAAGUGAUACUGAUGUGCUAGAGUGCAGAAGGGGCAACCGGAAUUCUUGGUGUAGCGGUGAAAUGCGUAGAUAUCAAGAGGAACACCUGAGGUGAAGACGGGUUGCUGGGCUGACACUGACGCUGAGUGCGCGAAAGCUAGGGUAGCAAACGGG
Molecule: ribosomal RNA, 254 nt
Filed under: uncultured bacterium
Lineage: Bacteria
Description: partial 16S ribosomal RNA
Rfam family: Bacterial small subunit ribosomal RNA
Source: RNAcentral